This 497-nucleotide ribosomal RNA is filed under the name uncultured bacterium. Its description in RNAcentral is "partial 16S ribosomal RNA". It matches the Rfam family "Bacterial small subunit ribosomal RNA", at positions 28 to 507 of the family's 1533-position model. The record is from RNAcentral.
GAUGAACGCUGGCGGCGUGCCUAAUACAUGCAAGUCGAACGAACAGAUCAGGAGCUUGCGCCUCUGACGUUAGCGGCGGACGGGAGAUUCACACGUGGAUAACCUACCUAUCAGACUGGGAUAACUUCGGGACACCGGAUCUAAUACCGGAUAAUAUAUUGCACCGCAUUGUUCAAUAGUGAAAUUCGGUUUUUCUGUCAGUUAUAGCUGGAUACGAGCCGGAUGAGCUAGUUGUUAAGGUAAAGGCUUACCAAGGCAAGGAUGCGUAGACGACCUGAGGGGGGGAUCGCCCACCUGGGAAGUGAGACACGGUCCAGACUCCUACGGGAGGCCGCAGUAUGGAAUCUUACGCAAGGGGGGAGAGUCUGACAGAGGAACGCGGCGGGAGUGAUGAAGGCGUUCGGAUCGGAAAGCUCUGUUACUAGUGGAGAACCAAUGUGUCCGUAACCGUGCAGGUAUUGACGGUACCGAGUCAGAAAGCCCCGGCUAACUACGUG